CCUACGGGAGGCUGCAGUGGGGAAUAUUGCACAAUGGGCGCAAGCCUGAUGCAGCCAUGCCGCGUGUGUGAAGAAGGCCUUCGGGUUGUAAAGCACUUUCAGCGGGGAGGAAGGCGGUGAGGUUAAUAACCUCAUCGAUUGACGUUACCCGCAGAAGAAGCACCGGCUAACUCCGUGCCAGCAGCCGCGGUAAUACGGAGGGUGCAAGCGUUAAUCGGAAUUACUGGGCGUAAAGCGCACGCAGGCGGUCUGUCAAGUCGGAUGUGAAAUCCCCGGGCUCAACCGGGGAACUGCAUUCGAAACUGGCAGGCUAGAGUCUUGUAGAGGGGGGUAGAAUUCCAGGUGUAGCGGUGAAAUGCGUAGAGAGCUGGAGGAAUACCGGUGGCGAAGGCGGCCCCCUGGACAAAGACUGACGCUCAGGUGCGAAAGCGUGGGGAGCAAACAGGAUUAGAUACCCGUGUAGUC
RNAcentral lists this ribosomal RNA (465 nucleotides) under uncultured Klebsiella sp. RNAcentral's name for it is "bacterial SSU rRNA". It matches the Rfam family "Bacterial small subunit ribosomal RNA", at positions 338 to 795 of the family's 1533-position model. Lineage: Bacteria; Pseudomonadati; Pseudomonadota; Gammaproteobacteria; Enterobacterales; Enterobacteriaceae. The record is from RNAcentral.